Non-coding RNA from Potamilus streckersoni, 72 nucleotides. NCBI's taxonomy places the organism in Eukaryota, Metazoa, Mollusca, Bivalvia, Unionida, Unionidae. The record is from the annotation of a GenBank genome assembly.
ACUCCGGUGGCCUAAGUGGUUAGAGCGUCUGCCUCGGAUGCGGGAUAUCGCAGGUUCGAAUCCCGCCGAAUU